RNAcentral lists this ribosomal RNA (421 nucleotides) under uncultured bacterium. RNAcentral describes it as "bacterial SSU rRNA". It matches the Rfam family "Bacterial small subunit ribosomal RNA", at positions 355 to 774 of the family's 1533-position model. The record is from RNAcentral.
UAAGGAAUAUUGGUCAAUGGACGCAAGUCUGAACCAGCCAUGCCGCGUGAAGGAUUAAGGCCCUCUGGGUUGUAAACUUCUUUUAUAGGGGAAGAAAUGUGACGGUUCUCCGUCACUUGACGGUACCCUGGGAAUAAGCACCGGCUAACUCCGUGCCAGCAGCCGCGGUAAUACGGAGGGUGCAAGCGUUAUCCGGAUUCACUGGGUUUAAAGGGUGCGUAGGUGGGCAGAUAAGUCAGUGGUGAAAUCUUCCGGCUUAACCGGAAACUGCCGUUGAUACUAUUUGUCUUGAAUAUUGCGGAGGUCAGCGGAAUAUGUCAUGUAGCGGUGAAAUGCUUAGAUAUGACAUAGAACACCAAUUGCGAAGGCAGCUUACUACACAAUCAUUGACACUGAGGCACGAAAGCGUGGGUAGCGAACA